AAAUCUUGAGAAAUUGUCGGAUGAGCUGUGGUUAGGAGCGAAAGACUAAUCAAACCCCCUGAUAGCUGGUUCUUUCCGAAAUAUAUUUGGGUAUAGCCUCGGGCGCUGAUGAGUGGAGGUAGAGCACUAAAUAAGCUAGGGCCCCUACCGGGGUACUGAACUUAAUUAAACUCCGAAUACCAUUCAAUGAAGCCCGGGAGUCAGACUGUGGGGGAUAACCUUCAUAGUCAAAAGGAGAAUAAUCCAAACCAUCAGUUAAGGUCCCAAAAUACGGCUCAGUGUAAAAGGAUGUGAUUUUGCUUAGACAAUGGGGAUGUUGGCUUAGAGGCAGCCAUCAUUUAAACAGUGCGUAACAGCUGACCCAUCGAGCGAAAUUGCGCCGAAAAUGAUCGGGACUUAAGCCGUAUACCGAAGCUAUGGCUGCCAUCGCAAGAUGGCGGGGUAGGAAAGCGUUCCAAAUGCAGCGAAGUGGAAGGGGCAACCGACCAUGGAGCGUUUGGAAGUGAGAAUGCAGACAUAAGUAACGAUAAAGAUGGUUAAAAUCCAUCUCGCCUCAAUUCCAAGGAUUCCUGGGGAAGGUUCGUCCUCCCAGGGUUAGUCGGGAGCUAAGACGAGGCCGUAAGGAGUAGUCGAUGCACAGCUGGUUCAAUAUUCCAGCACCACCUUAUUAGAGUUCGAUGCCAAGGAGUGACGGAGAAAGUUAACACGAGCGGGGCGCUGAUUUCCGUUCAAGUCCGUAGGUUAUUCGGGGAUAAAAUACCGGAUCUAUCUGAAAGACGAUGAAGAGCUGAGGCUACGGCCAAGGCGAUUCGUGUGAUACUCGGCUUCCAGGAAAAGCUUCGUGGCUAUUUGAUAGGGUGCCCGUACCGUAAACCGACACAGGUGGAAUAGAUGAGUAUUCUAAGGCGCGUGGGUUAAAUCUCUCUAAGGAACUCGGCAAACUGACCCCGUAUGUUAGCUAUAAGGGGUGCCUCGCAAGAGGCCACAGAUAAGAGUGUCAACCGACUGUUUAGCAAAAACACAGCUCUCUGCUAAGUCGCAAGACGACGUAUAGGGAGUGACUUGUGACCAAUGCGGAAAGGUGAAAGCCUGGGGUGCAAGCUCCGGGUCUAAGCCCCCGUGAAUGUCGGCCGUAACUAUAACGGUCCUAAGGUAGCGAAAUUCCUUGUCGGGUAAGUUCCGACCCGCACGAAUCAAGUAACGAGUUGACAACUGUCUCGGAGAGAGGCCCAGUGAAAUUGUAGUGGCGGUGAAGAUGCCGCCUACCCGCAGCAGGACGGAAAGACCCUAUGCACCUUUACUGUAAGCUGUUAUUGUCGCUUGAUUUUUAAUACGUAGCAUAGCUGGGAGACUGCGAAUCCUGCCUUCAGGGGCGGGCCGAGUCGAAAUAUGAAAUACCAGUUUUUAAUUGUUAGGCGUCUAACCUCGUCU
RNAcentral lists this ribosomal RNA (1431 nucleotides) under metagenome. RNAcentral describes it as "bacterial LSU rRNA". It matches the Rfam family "Bacterial large subunit ribosomal RNA", at positions 784 to 2233 of the family's 2925-position model. The record is from RNAcentral.